UGGGGAAUAUUGGACAAUGGGCGAAAGCCUGAUCCAGCCAUGCCGCGUGUGUGAAGAAGGUCUUCGGAUUGUAAAGCACUUUAAGUUGGGAGGUAGGGCAGUAAGCGAAUACCUUGCUGUUUUGACGUUACCGACAGAAUAAGCACCGGCUAACUCUGUGCCAGCAGCCGCGGUAAUACAGAGGGUGCAAGCGUUAAUCGGAAUUACUGGGCGUAAAGCGCGCGUAGGUGGUUCGUUAAGUUGAAUGUGAAAGCCCCGGGCUCAACCUGGGAACUGCAUCCAAAACUGGCGAGCUAGAGUAGGGCAGAGGGUGGUGGAAUUUCCUGUGUAGCGGUGAAAUGCGUAGAUAUAGGAAGGAACACCAGUGGCGAAGGCGACCACCUGGGCUCAUACUGACACUGAGGUGCGAAAGCGUGGGGAGCAAACAGG
This 429-nucleotide ribosomal RNA is filed under the name Pseudomonadota bacterium. Its description in RNAcentral is "Proteobacteria bacterium partial 16S ribosomal RNA". It matches the Rfam family "Bacterial small subunit ribosomal RNA", at positions 355 to 776 of the family's 1533-position model. The record is from RNAcentral. Lineage: Bacteria; Pseudomonadati; Pseudomonadota.